CUCACCAGCUGAGUCUUAGAGGCUCCUUUGAAGAGCUGAUUUCAGGCAGGCAAAUUGCCCCCCAGGAGGGACUCUGUGCCUGCUCUCCCGUGGCUCCAAGGGAUCUCUGGCCCUUCACGCCGGCACCGAGAUUUUCUCGGGAAGGGCCUCAGAUCCCCGGACCAGUCUGGGACACAGGCAAGAUCCCCCUGCAUUUUGGGACCAAAUUGGCCCCUGGAGGGACAGUGCUGUUGGUGCCCCCCGGGUUGGGGCACCCCGAGGACUCCAGCGCGCACCGAAAGGAUUAUUCGGGGAGAUCCUCGGGGUGCCCGGCCCUGGGGAGCUCAAAGCAAGGUCCCUGCCAUGGAUUCAGGCAUUGCUGAGAGUAUCCCAGGGGUCCCUGUCCCUGCUAGACAGGGAGCUCUCUAAUGGGCUGUAAUUGGGUUCUAAAAGUGGUGCUCCAAGUGCCAAACAAGUGUGGGAUUGGGAUUAAGAAAUGAGCAGUGAGGGUGCAAUUGGCUGUUUUCUCUGGAAUGUGACUGUGAGAGCUGCAGGAGUGCCAGGUGUGUGUUCCAGUCCCCAGCAUUUGGUUUGCACAUGUCCUGCUCAGACACAAGUACAAUUUCCUCAGUCCUGAACACAGCAGAAUGAGAAUUAUGGACUGGCAGUGUUAAGGUGAUUGGUGUGACAGGGGUCAAACUGGGAAAACAUUGGGGAAUUCCUCAGUUUGUGUUUUUGCCAAACUCACCCAAACCUCUGCUAGGAAGUGAUGGGCUGGAAAAGUUGAGGCAGAAAUGGAAUUGAAAACUGGGGCUCUUGACACUGUAAUUGCUGAAACUAAAUGUGUCCAAGCAGCAGCUCUUGUUGUGCAGGGAAUAACUCCUGUCAGCAGCAAGGCCCUGACUGAAGUGGCAGCUGCAGUUGUUCCUGUGGUGUGGGCCAGUGGAGCUGCAGGAGAGUGGAAGAGGGCAGAACCUGUAGGUAUUACCCCUGAUGUGGGAUCUCUAUGGGACGUGAAUGCAAGAACCUGCCAAGAAAACCAGUGGACAAGAUGAUUGAUUAGUGCAGGACCUGAGAGAAGCACCUUGAAUGACAACCUGGAGGAGUUUCCAGUAUUGGAUUUAAAAGAUGGCCUUUGCAUCUCCUUGAGCAAGGAAAGCCAAGAAAGCUUUGCUUUUGCAGGAGAAAAUGGGGCAAGCAGGCAGGAAGAAGAGAAGCCCCGUGACUCCUCCCUGAGCCCCAGACAGCCCAUGAACUGCCUUGCUGGGAAUGGUGGGACGGGCUGGACUCUGCAUUGCUCCCUCGGGAUGUGUGGCUCUCCCCUCAGGAACUGCAGGAACUCCUGGUGCCGCCUGGGCCGAUGGAUUGGACGCCCCAGCCCCUCCGUUCCUGCCCGGCCACUGGGGCCGUGUCCAGUGGUGGCACUGCCAGCCCUGCAGUGGGAUGGAGCCUGGAAAGUGCACAGAGCUGAGCCCAGGGAUUGAAAGGGACCAAGCAAG
Molecule: long non-coding RNA, 1478 nt
Organism: Manacus vitellinus (golden-collared manakin)
Lineage: Eukaryota; Metazoa; Chordata; Aves; Passeriformes; Pipridae
Exons: 4
Source: RefSeq, a predicted model, not a curated record